RNAcentral lists this ribosomal RNA (612 nucleotides) under uncultured archaeon. RNAcentral's name for it is "bacterial SSU rRNA". It matches the Rfam family "Archaeal small subunit ribosomal RNA", at positions 691 to 1302 of the family's 1478-position model. The record is from RNAcentral.
CCGACGGUGAGGGGUGAAGGCUGGGGGCGCAAACCGGAUUAGAUACCCGGGUAGUCCCAGCAGUAAACGAUGCCAGCUAUGUGUUGCUGGAACCAUGGGUUCCAGCAGUGCCGAAGGGAAGCCGUGAAGCUGGCCACCUGGGAAGUACGGUCGCAAGGCUGAAACUUAAAGGAAUUGGCGGGGGAGUACCACAACCGGUGGAGCCUGCGGUUUAAUUGGAUACAACGCCGGGAAUCUUACCGGAGGGGACAGCAGUAUGAAGGCCAGGCUAAAGACCUUGCCAGAUCAGCUGAGAGGAGGUGCAUGGCCGUCGCCAGUUCGUACCGUGAGGCAUCCUGUUUAGUCAGGCAACGAUCGAGACCCGCAGUCUUAUUUGCCAGCAUGCCCUUUGGGGUGUAUGGGUACAAUAAGACGACCGCCAGCGCUAAGCUGGAGGAAGGAGCGGGCUACGGUAGGUCAGCAUGCCCCGAAUCCUCCGGGAUACACGCGGGCUACAAUGGUCAGGACAAAAGGUACCGACCUCGAAAGAGUGAGGUAAUCCACAAACCUGAUCUCAGUCCGGAUCGAAGGCUGCAACUCGCCUUCGUGAAGAUGGAAUCGGUAGUAAUCGUG